This 514-nucleotide ribosomal RNA is filed under the name uncultured bacterium. Its description in RNAcentral is "bacterial SSU rRNA". It matches the Rfam family "Bacterial small subunit ribosomal RNA", at positions 15 to 518 of the family's 1533-position model. The record is from RNAcentral.
GAUUCUGGCUCAGGAUGAACGCUAGCGACAGGCUUAACACAUGCAAGUCGAGGGGCAGCAUAAAAGUAGCAAUACUUGGUGGCGACCGGCGCACGGGUGAGUAACGCGUAUGCAACCUACCUAUCAGGAGGGGAAUAACCCGGCGAAAGUCGGACUAAUACCGCAUAAAACAGGGGCACCGCAUGGUGAUAUUUGUUAAAGAAAUUCGCUGAUAGAUGGGCAUGCGUUCCAUUAGGUAGUUGGUGAGGUAACGGCUCACCAAGCCGACGAUGGAUAGGGGAACUGAGAGGUUGGUCCCCCACACUGGUACUGAGACACGGACCAGACUCCUACGGGAGGCAGCAGUGAGGAAUAUUGGUCAAUGGGCGGGAGCCUGAACCAGCCAAGUCGCGUGGAAAAGGAAGAAGGAUCUAUGGUUCGUAAACUUCUUUUGCAGGGGAAUAAAGUGCAGGACGUGUCCUGUUUUGUAUGUACCCUGAGAAUAAGGAUCGGCUAACUCCGUGCCAGCAGCGGC